Molecule: small nuclear RNA, 104 nt
Organism: Cercocebus atys (sooty mangabey)
Lineage: Eukaryota; Metazoa; Chordata; Mammalia; Primates; Cercopithecidae
Source: Ensembl
GUGCUCACUUUGGCAGUACAUGUACUAAAAUUGGAAUGAUACAGAGAUUAGCAUGGCCUCUGAGCAAGGAUGACACGCAAAUUGAUGAAGUAUUCCAUAUAAAA